RNAcentral lists this ribosomal RNA (424 nucleotides) under uncultured bacterium. RNAcentral describes it as "bacterial SSU rRNA". It matches the Rfam family "Bacterial small subunit ribosomal RNA", at positions 356 to 773 of the family's 1533-position model. The record is from RNAcentral.
AGGGAAUCUUGCGCAAUGGGCGAAAGCCUGACGCAGCAACGCCGCGUGAGGGAAGAAGGCUUUCGGGUUGUAAACCUCUUUCAGGUGGGACGAAGCUUCCAGGGUUAAUAGCCCAUGGGGUGACGGUACCUCCAGAAGAAGCCCCGGCUAACUACGUGCCAGCAGCCGCGGUAAUACGUAGGGGGCAAGCGUUGUCCGGAAUCAUUGGGCGUAAAGCGCGUGUAGGCGGCUUGAUAAGUCCGGUGUGAAACCUUGGGGCUCAACCCCAAGCCUGCACCGGAUACUGUCUCGCUUGAGUUCGGGAGGGGAGAGCGGAAUUCCUAGUGUAGCGGUGAAAUGCGCAGAUAUUAGGAAGAACACCAAUGGCGAAGGCAGCUCUCUGGAACGAUACUGACGCUGAGACGCGAAAGCGUGGGGAGCGAAC